RNAcentral lists this unclassified non-coding RNA (546 nucleotides) under Hevea brasiliensis (rubber tree). The record is from RNAcentral. Lineage: Eukaryota; Viridiplantae; Streptophyta; Magnoliopsida; Malpighiales; Euphorbiaceae.
CACUGGUUUUGUACAAGCUUCAGGUGAACCGAAGUUAAAACGGUAAAAACCCAUUGCCCAAAACUCCAAAUCCGGAGCAGAGAAAAAGCUAAAACACUGGUUGAAGAAAUAUAGGUGAUCUAAACAUACGAAUAGCCAUGUUUAUCAAUAAAUUUCUGACCAUGUUUCGAGACCCAAAACAGGGAAAAAAGUGAAACAAUUGUGGGGAUGAGAGACCCUCCGUACUAUAAAAUAUCAGACUCAUCUCAUCGAGAUGACACAGGAAAGUUUCCUAGUCUUUAACCCAAAACAAGCACGAAAGAUACAGCUAAUUAACAAUAAGAAGCAGCAAAAUCACCUAGCAGCUUUUAUGCUACCUUCCUAUAGACUGAUAGUGAUGCACGCCCUUCAAUACUAGGUAGCUAGAAUCUAAGCAAAACCAAGCUUUGAAUAAGAACAACUCCUUACAUUACCAUUUAAAUCACUAUUAUAGCUGGAGGAAAGGGGUUCAUUUACUGGUAUGACCAUAGGCCUUCUGCAUCCGAAUCCCCUGGCGAAUCAUCCGAC